GUCUUAAUGUGAUGCUAAGUAAAUGUAGCAGGAUAAUCUUUGAAAGCAUCAUCUGAGAAAUAAAUAAAAAUUUGUGUCAGUCUGAUUAGGAU
Molecule: small nucleolar RNA, 92 nt
Organism: Archocentrus centrarchus (flier cichlid)
Lineage: Eukaryota; Metazoa; Chordata; Actinopteri; Cichliformes; Cichlidae
Product: small nucleolar RNA Z122
Exons: 1
Source: RefSeq, a predicted model, not a curated record